GAUGAACGCUGGCGGCGUGCUUAACACAUGCAAGUCGAACGAAGCACUUUACCUGAUUUCCUUCGGGGAUGAUUGUUCUGUGACUGAGUGGCGGACGGGUGAGUAACGCGUGGAUAACCUGCCUCACACAGGGGGAUAACAGUUGGAAACGACUGCUAAUACCGCAUAAGCGCACAGUACCGCAUGGUACAGUGUGAAAAACUCCGGUGGUGUGAGAUGGAUCCGCGUCUGAUUAGCUUGUUGGCGGGGUAACGGCCCACCAAGGCGACGAUCAGGAGCCGGCCUGGGAGGGCGACCGGCCACAUUGGGACUGAGACACGGCCCAGACUCCUACGGGAGGCAGCAGUGGGGAAUAUUGCACAAUGGGGGAAACCCUGAUGCAGCGACGCCGCGUGAGCGAUGAAGUAUUUCGGUAUGUAAGGCUCUAUCAGCAGGGAAGAUAAUGACGGUACCUGACUAAGAAGCUCCGGCUAAAUACGUGCCAGCCGCCGCCGUAA
Molecule: ribosomal RNA, 497 nt
Filed under: uncultured bacterium
Lineage: Bacteria
Description: partial 16S ribosomal RNA
Rfam family: Bacterial small subunit ribosomal RNA
Source: RNAcentral